This 376-nucleotide ribosomal RNA is filed under the name uncultured Gammaproteobacteria bacterium. Its description in RNAcentral is "bacterial SSU rRNA". It matches the Rfam family "Bacterial small subunit ribosomal RNA", at positions 114 to 486 of the family's 1533-position model. The record is from RNAcentral. Lineage: Bacteria; Pseudomonadati; Pseudomonadota; Gammaproteobacteria.
UACAUAGGAAUCUGCCCAGCAGUGGGGGAUAACCUGGGGAAACUCAGGCUAAUACCGCAUAAGCCCUACGGGGGAAAGCGGGGGAUCUUCGGACCUCGCGCUGUUGGAUGAGCCUAUGUCAGAUUAGCUUGUUGGUGAGGUAAAGGCUCACCAAGGCGACGAUCUGUAGCUGGUCUGAGAGGAUGAUCAGCCACACUGGGACUGAGACACGGCCCAGACUCCUACGGGAGGCAGCAGUAGGGAAUAUUGGACAAUGGGCGAAAGCCUGAUCCAGCAAUGCAGCGUGUGUGAAGAAGGCCUGCGGGUUGUAAAGCACUUUCAAUUGGGAGGAAAGCUAGAAGGUUAAUACCUUUUAGUCUUGACGUUACCUUUAGAA